Molecule: long non-coding RNA, 342 nt
Filed under: Gossypium raimondii (Peruvian cotton)
Lineage: Eukaryota; Viridiplantae; Streptophyta; Magnoliopsida; Malvales; Malvaceae
Description: long non-coding RNA (GRAI_LNC009182)
Source: RNAcentral
UGGGCGAUUUCUUCGCCGGCUUUCUUUGUGGCGGCGUAAAGGCUAGCCGGUUGGUCUGUCCGGUCGCGUUCGGAGAAUGGGUUUUCGGUGUUGAGGCCGUAAACGGAGCUCGAUGAUGCCCAAACAAUGGAUGGCUGAGGAUUGGCUGCUUUGGCUACUUCGAGCAAGUUAACAAAGCCUGCAAUGUUGGAGCUGAUGUACGACUGUGGGUUUUGCAUGGCGUAACGUACGCCGGCCUGAGCCGCUAAGUGAAGGACGUGAGUGAAGGGCACAACGUCGAAUAGCUUGGUCAGCAAUGGCCCGUCGUUCAAGUCACCUUCGACGAUGAAAACUUGGUGCUUA